This 499-nucleotide ribosomal RNA is filed under the name uncultured bacterium. RNAcentral's name for it is "bacterial SSU rRNA". It matches the Rfam family "Bacterial small subunit ribosomal RNA", at positions 406 to 896 of the family's 1533-position model. The record is from RNAcentral.
UGAAGAAGGCCUUCGGGUUGUAAAGCCCUUUUGUUGGGAAAGAAAUCCUGUUGAUUAAUACUCGGCAGGGAUGACGGUACCCAAAGAAUAAGCACCGGCUAACUUCGUGCCAGCAGCCGCGGUAAUACGAAGGGUGCAAGCGUUACUCGGAAUUACUGGGCGUAGAGCGUGCGUAGGUGGUUGUUUAAGUCUGUCGUGAAAGCCCUGGGCUCAACCUGGGAACUGCGAUGGAUACUGGGCAACUAGAGUGUGGUAGAGGGUGGCGGAAUUCCCGGUGUGGCAGUGAAAUGCGUAGAGAUCGGGAGGAACAUCCGUGGCGAAGGCGGCCACCUGGGCCAACACUGACACUGAGGCACGAAAGCGUGGGGAGCAAACAGGAUUAGAUACCCUGGUAGUCCACGCCCUAAACGAUGCGAACUGGAUGUUGGGUUCAACUUGGAACCCAGUAUCGAAGCUAACGCGUUAAGUUCGCCGCCUGGGGAGUACGGUCGCAAGACUG